Molecule: long non-coding RNA, 3030 nt
Filed under: Homo sapiens (human)
Lineage: Eukaryota; Metazoa; Chordata; Mammalia; Primates; Hominidae
Description: HSALNT0026196
Source: RNAcentral
UCACGGCAGCUUUAUUUGCUUUAUUUUUAUUUAGAAAUUGGAAAUAAUCGAAAUAUCGGUCAACAGGUAAAUAAAUAAACUGUGGUAUAUCCAUGCAAUACAAAAUGUGGAUUAUUGAUGUACACAAAAUGGGUGAAUGCCAAAAUAAUUAUGCUGAGUAGAAGCACCUCCCCCCACAGUACUUGCUCUGCGAUUCCACUCAGAUAAAAUUCUAGAAUAUAUAAAUUAACCUUUAGUGAGAGGGAGCAGACCAGUGGUUGCCUGAACAUGGAGGACACGAGGGACGGUUUAGACCGGGGUGUGAAACUGCUGUUGGUGGUGAUGGACAUGUUCUGGCGACAGCUUCACAGGCAAAUGCAUCGGUCACUUCACGUAUGUGCAGUUCAUUACCUGUCAGUUACACCUCAACAGAGCUGUUUUAAAAAGCAAGGUGGGGCCGGCUUUGGUGGCUCACACCUGUAAUCCCAGCACUUUGGGAGGCCAAGGAAGGAGGAUCGCUUGAGGCCAGGAGUUUAAGACCAGCCUGGGCAACACAGUGAGACACUGUUCCUAUUUUAAAUAACAAAACAAAACAAAAGUGGUACAAUAACAACUUUUAAAACUCAAAAAGAAACAAAGAAAGAGAUAAAAGAGAUUCAAGAGACAGUGGCAAACACUGAGAACAGCCAAUUUAGAUUUCAACAUACAGAUAACAGGGAUCCCCACAGAAAAAAGCCAAAGCAAGAAAAAUGUAACACUAAACUCCAGUUCAAGCAAAUCUUCUUAAAAUAACAGAUAUGAAGUACACAUAGAAAGAGCACACCAUACGCUUGCAAAUAUGGACCAGGACAACCAAUACCAACACAUGACACAUUCGAAUAAAACGGCCGACUUGACAGAAAAAGGAAAAAAUCCUUUGGGCAUCUAAGGAAAAACAGCAUAUGACUGUCAGGGGAAGAAAACAAGAUUCAUCAGGCUUUUCAUGCAUCACUUUAUGCUGGAAGAAAACAGAAUAAAACAAGAUACUCAAAGAAAAUCUGGGCCAAGAAUUUCGUAUCCAGCAAAACUGAAUUCAACAUCAGAAACUCAAGGAAUACUGUCCCCAAGAUGACACUGACUAUAGACUGGUUAUGAGACCUGAACACACAGAAAUGAGUCAAUGGUGGUAAAAAGGAGCAAUUUUUCUGACAACGUAGACACAGUGCUGUUUUCAUCAUCACAAUUAAUGCUAUGGUAUUAGUAUUUUUUUUAAAUGCUAAAUGCUAAAGAGGAAUAAAACAAGUGAGUGAUUAAGGGAUGGAUAUUCCAUGCCAUUGUCCUGUGUCUUGAGAAGCAGGAUUCCGAGUGCAGGAGACACAGACAUCAUAUAGAGGAGGCUAUGUAAAGGCCCCAGGACCCUGAAUUUGUAUUGGGAAUAUCAAUAUAGGCUCAGAAAAUAUUCUUCCUUUAAAUAGGAGAACGUUCUGAACCACUUUUGGUCCUGAGUGCUACCCAGCUGAAGAAACUAUUUUCUGCUCAAUUAAACUGCUAACUUGUCUAAAGUUUUUCUUUUAAGACAGGUUUGGAGCAGAAGCUCUAUAAAUUGGGCCUAGAGCAUCUUGACAUGCCAGGCUGCAGGGAGCUAUCAAUGACUGUGCGUGUGGUCUGUGCACACAUGUAUGCACACAUGUGCACACUUAUCAAAAGAAAGCAAGAGCCAAGCUGAAGAGGCUCCCUCUCACUGACCGAAUAAGCUAGUCUGAGCUAAAUAAAGAUAAAAAUCACAACGGAUUGAAACCCACCAAGUAUGCUUAACUCCACAAAUUCUUUUUUUUUUUUAAGACAAGGACUUGCUGUCGCCCAGGCUGGAAUGUGGUGGCAUGGUCACAGCUCACGCAUCCUCGACCUCCUGGGCCCAAGCGAUCCUCCCAUCUCAGCCUCCAGAAUAGCUGGGACAACAGGCAGGCACUACCACACCCACCUGAUUUUAUUUUAAUUUUCUGUAGAGACAGGGUGUCACUAUGUUGCCCAGACUAGUCUCAAACUCCUGGGUUCAUGUGAUCCUCCAGCCUCAGCCUCCCAAAGUGCUGGGAUUACAGGCAUAAGACACCAUGCCCAGCCCAUGAAUUCUUGUAUAUAUGUAAAAACCCUUCACCACUCACCUUCCUUGACAGACAACUAAUGCAUUAUCUUAAAAACUUAGUGUACAAGAGCAAAGAAUCAAGCAUUUAUCCUGCCCUUCCUAUAUGAACUGUACCACUGGGUAACCAGAUAAGUAUAAAAAAGAAAACACUUUCUUAGAAAACCAUUCCAGCUAAUAAAGGCAAGCAAAACGACAGAAUGAGAAUACCACCAUUUUGCAACCCCAAAUAAUUAAUGGAUCUUGGCACUGAGCAUCAGCUGCCGUCAACAUGGUACUUUCCUGAGGAAAGCUCCUAACCGCCUGUUCUCCUGCCAAAGGGAUCAAAUUUGAGGCUCAUCAAGCCUCUGGACCCAGCUGCCAAUGUGCAGGAAACAUAGAGGACCAUGCUGAACUACACCAUGACCACGUGGUCAGCAAAAUCUACACUGUGGGAAGCCAUGGGACAAACAGCCCAGGCUCUUCAACAGAUAAACGGCAGGGAAAACAGUGAGGCCGACGGGACUGCAAAUGGACACUGAAGUAGAUAAAAAAAUAAACAAAAAAAAGCAGACAAGACUAAACUGCCAUCAAAAAACCAAGAAAGUCAUUUCUGUAAAAGUCAGGAUUACUUGUUGGGGCAAGGAGGGGGAGAAGAAGAGGGCUGUGGCUGGAGGGGCACUUGGGAGAGCCUCCUGGGGUAUCUGGCAAAGUACUAUUUCUUCACCAGGUGGUGGACACAAAGGUUAUUCACCUUACAAUCAUAAUCAUUCAAUAAGCUAUACAUUUGUUUUGUGUCACUUCCUGUAUGUUUUUAUAAUAAAAAGGUUUAAAACUAAAUAAAUAAUCAUGUCAAACUUUUACUACUUUUUUUUUUUUUUGAGACAGAGUCUCACUCUGUUGCCCAGGAUGGAGUGCAGUGGUGCAAUCUUGGCUCACUGCAACCUCUGCCG